UAUUAAGCUGGGUUUUUGGGGGGAAUUCUCUGAUCACAAAACCUUGUCAAACCUGAGUCUGUGAAGAAAAGGGCCCUUUGGCAAUGGAAAAUGUGUGUCAUGGUCUUUCAGAUGAAAAACAAAACGCUGCACACCAGGGUUGCUGCACAGGAACCAGGCAACUGUCCUCCAGACCCCACCACCUUCUGCUUUUCAUAAGCAGACAGACGUGGACCAGCCUUUCUUCAGCCGUUACCGUACGAGAAGGCCGGUCCUCUGGGUUCUUCUCCCGUCCAAUUCGAUUCACAAUCAGUGGACGAACAACUGGGCAAUGUGAAUAAACAAUGGACCCCACGUGCAGACUACUGAAUUCCAUUACAAAGAAUUAUUCAAUUGUCAGCCAGCAAGACUUUUUAAGCCUUGCAGUUGAAAGUUACAUAGUCAUGGGUGCAAGAAGACAGUUACAAGUGCAAUCUGAAAAUAGCUGAAAAGUUGAUCUGAAAGUCUCCUUCAGAGACACUAUUUAGAAUACGCUGUUGACAGCGAAUGUAUGAAGGGUUGAGCCUGGCUAGCAAGGCGGGGUGGGGUGGGGUGGGGGGGGGGGCAGGUUGAUGGCAUGAUGGCACAGGGUGGAGUCACUGUGUUUUUACGUCUGCGUCAGCCGACUCCUCACUGGAACUCCAGACCUGAAGCAACCAAUCAGCAGCACCCCAGUUCUCUCCUGCUGCGUGAGUGAGCCGCCAAUCCAGCCCUCUGCCCGCCCCUGUGCCCUCUGAAAGCCCAUCACCAGAGGACAGGACAAUGUCAAGCCCGCCCCCCCCCCCGGCCCCACCCUUCCUCCCCCAGGACAGAACUGGCUGGCCUAAAUGUGAACCUGUGCUUGACUGAAAUUUAGCAGUGGGGAGUUUUCAGACACCACUUCCUCUAUGAGAUAUGGUCACUUUCUGUUUGCUUGUUUUGCUGCUUGGGUAGUUCUGGUCAUUUGGAUUAUUUCUUAUAAAUGAUUACUUAUUGCUCAUCGUCAGAUGAUUAAGAAAAUGAGGGUACAGUGGACAGAGGUAAUGAGAAGAGAUACCUUAAAUCAUUCUACUAUUUUAUGCUGUGAAUUAUUUCCUCUGGGUAGUCCAGGAUGUAUUCUGGUUGCAGCACUCAUUUCUAAAAUCUCACAUUAAUGUCAUUUCACAUGUAUCCCACCAAGUGUAAUUCAUUGUAGGGGAGAAACUUUCAGGAAAGGGACUCAGUCAAACUUAUUCCAAAAUUGAAAUUUUCAUUUGGGUAAGAAUCGGAUGCUAAAAUAACACAAAACAACCGUUAUCAGUGAUUUAUCACAUAGCUUGUAUUCAGUGAUUCAGCACACACACGAUUAAACAAAUGACAGCAUUUUAAUUGCUAUCAUUCCGUCCGUCUGAUACGAAGCGUGCGAGCGCUACGUA
Anguilla rostrata (American eel) is the source of this 1412-nucleotide long non-coding RNA. RefSeq lists it as uncharacterized. The record is from RefSeq and is a predicted model, not a curated record. Lineage: Eukaryota; Metazoa; Chordata; Actinopteri; Anguilliformes; Anguillidae. The transcript is spliced from 2 exons.